Molecule: ribosomal RNA, 177 nt
Filed under: uncultured bacterium
Lineage: Bacteria
Description: partial 16S ribosomal RNA
Rfam family: Bacterial small subunit ribosomal RNA
Source: RNAcentral
ACUCCUACGGGAGGCAGCAGUGGGGAAUAUUGGACAAUGGGCGAAAGCCUGAUCCAGCCAUGCCGCGUGUGUGAUGAAGGCCUUCGGGUUGUAAACCUCUUUCAGUAGGGAAGAAGCGCAAGUGACGGUACCUACAGAAGAAGCACCGGCUAACUACGUGCCAGCAGCCGCGGUAAU